UAAUAGCGUAUAUUAUUGAUGUUGCAGUUGAAACGUUCGUAGUCGAACUUUAUGUGCUUGGAUACUAUAACAUCUUUGAUGUGAUAGUGUUUUCAGCACAGAUCAUGCAAACCAACACCAUAUGUUUCAUAUGGUUGUUUGAUUUGCAUCUUACUUUGAGUGAAUCGGCGUGUUCCACGCAGGCAUGUGCCUUGAACGAUUUACCAUAGCAUAAAUAGAGUAUGGAAGUAUUUGUAUUCAACUGCUAGAGGUGAAAUUCUUUGAUUAGUUGAGGACGAACUAUUGCGAAAGCAUCUGCCAUGGACGUUUCUUUUGA
This 316-nucleotide ribosomal RNA is filed under the name uncultured eukaryote. RNAcentral describes it as "partial 18S ribosomal RNA". It matches the Rfam family "Eukaryotic small subunit ribosomal RNA", at positions 592 to 976 of the family's 1831-position model. The record is from RNAcentral.